UAAACAAAAUCUCUUUCCUUCUUACAUUUAAAGGUCUUUUAUCUUUAAAUUGUUCUCCUACAAAAAUACAACCAGCAUUAGCCUUGGCCACCAAUACAUAACCACCAGCCACCACGAUGCAAUUAUCACCGCCAGUCCAUCUUCAUUAACUAACCACCGCCAGCCUACCUUACAACCAUCAUCAUAGAUGGCCACUAGUGGAACUACCACUCAUGUCACUACUAGAACGAAUUUCCAACACUUAAUUUUUGACGAGAAUCGUUGGUAAAUGCUAAAAGAAAAAAAGGGCAUAUGUAUCGAUCGGAAAAGCAUUGGCGUUAAAUUCCAAAAAUAAUUUACCGCCACAUUCUCUGUCCGAUAGGCGUAGGAAAUAUCAAAAUAAAGAAAUUACUUUUUAUAUAAUGACUUCCUGACGUGUUUCCCUUAGAAACAUUAAGUACAAAUAAUUAUAGAUUAUUAAAUUUCCAACAAUUGUCCGCUAGAUGGUAUUUUAGCCAAAGGCAGAGUUAAUAACCAAUUUUAUGAUUCUGAAUUCUAAAAUGAAGGCUUCAAGUACUAAGCUAGCGUUUGGCCAUAGAUCUCAAAUUUAUUUUGAAAAUUUUGAUUCGGGUGAAGUUUGGUUUGAAGAUGAAAAUAUAUUUGGACAUACGUUUUCAAAAUAUAUUUUCUAAUUUUAUUUUGGAAAAACAUGUAUAUAAUUCCCAUGUUUUGGGAUUUUGGCCCAAAUUCAACUCAAUAGGGAUUUGGCUAAAAUAUGGGCAAAAUUUAUGGGCAAACAUGAAUUUUGAAAAUAAAUCUUAAAUUUAUUUUGGCAAAACUUAUGGCUAAGGCUGUGUUGAGUAACGGUUCCGAACCGGAACCGCGGUUCUACAUGAUAUAGCAGUCGGUGAUAGAAUAGAUGAUGAUAUUAUGAGUUU
RNAcentral lists this long non-coding RNA (917 nucleotides) under Nicotiana benthamiana. RNAcentral describes it as "long non-coding RNA (NBEN_LNC008725)". The record is from RNAcentral. Lineage: Eukaryota; Viridiplantae; Streptophyta; Magnoliopsida; Solanales; Solanaceae.